UACGUAGGUCCCGAGCGUUGUCCGGAUUUAUUGGGCGUAAAGCGAGCGCAGGUGGUUUAUUAAGUCUGGUGUAAAAGGCAGUGGCUCAACCAUUGUAUGCAUUGGAAACUGGUAGACUUGAGUGCAGGAGAGGAGAGUGGAAUUCCACGUGUAGCGGUGAAAUGCGUAGAUAUAUGGAGGAACACCGGUGGCGAAAGCGGCUCUCUGGCCCGUAACUGACACUGAGGCUCGAAAGCGUGGGGAGCAAACAGG
This 252-nucleotide ribosomal RNA is filed under the name uncultured bacterium. RNAcentral's name for it is "partial 16S ribosomal RNA". It matches the Rfam family "Bacterial small subunit ribosomal RNA", at positions 524 to 776 of the family's 1533-position model. The record is from RNAcentral.